Acipenser ruthenus (sterlet) is the source of this 3210-nucleotide long non-coding RNA. RefSeq lists it as uncharacterized. The record is from RefSeq and is a predicted model, not a curated record. The transcript is spliced from 3 exons. NCBI's taxonomy places the organism in Eukaryota, Metazoa, Chordata, Actinopteri, Acipenseriformes, Acipenseridae.
GUCUGAUUGAUGGAAACGAUCCUCGCAGGCAGGUGUGUGCUUUUGGUAACAACUAAGUAAAACAAUGCAAUCAAUUUAGCGACAGACAGUUCGCACAAUUCACACUCACUUUACUUCACUCACAUUGCAGUAUAGAGAGGUGAGUUACAAAACCUGACUUUCUUUAAAGUGUCCCGAGAUCCUGGAACCUGUUGGCAACCCUUCCCUCAGAUCAGGUGACUCAUUUAAAACGCCAUUAAAGAAAAUACGGGGUUAUGGCAAAGAUGCCGCUCGUCUUUCUGAAAGCAACUCAAAGCAGAUAUCUGCCAGGUACCAGCCUCUGGAGGACAUGGGCCAGCCCUGCAGGUGCCCACCUGAACUCACUCUGCGUCUGGCCUGUAGGGUUCAUUGUAGAGCGAUGAGGAGAAAGUCCAUGCCAGCUUUGCCUUCGUAUCCUGCAGGAGUGCUGGAAUCCCCAGCGGAGACCGGCGACUUUGCACAGCCAGGACAUGAACCAGCACUCCUCUGUAUGAAUCACCUUGCACACCAAUCGUCAUGCUUUUACAGAUUGCCCUAAGCAGAAACAUGGAGCCGCUAGAUCUGGAGGGCAAACCUCUGAUCUGGCAGCACUGCUGAGAAGAACCGAAGUUGUGCUGCUCAUAUUUACAGUCUUUGUUGGCAUUAACCGGCUGCGCUCCAUCCAGACUUUUUGAUGCCAAUCAUAGCCAGUCCUGGCUGACGGCUGGCUGCUACCGAGCAUGUGCACGGCGGAUUUGGACGCGCUCAUUUCUGAGCGAGCACAGCCUGGCUUCAGCCCAUUAAACAGAUGGGAUGAACGGCAUUGUUGAUGUGCCAGUGUCACACGAGAGGGGGGAACUGAAUUGCACAUCACCCAGAAGGGAAGCGCAAUUCAUUAAUAAGAGACUGUGGGUUCAGCGAGCAAGUGAACGCUGUUAACAAGCCACCCCUGAAUAUGGUCUUGGGAGACUGGCUAAGUUGUAUAAUCUCUUCACACAGACAAGCAACACAUUUAUCUGACAGCACUUGUUUGUUUGCUGAAGCUCGAUCUGCAAUGAAGAUUAAUAGCUUGCUGAUUGUGACCAUUCCCUAAAUUCGUACAUCAAACGCUGCCGUUAGGCUGCCUGAAGCAUGAAUCCAGGAGUCGCGCAAUCAAUCCCUGUUGAAAAGUUGACGUGUGAAAUUGAAAUGGAGAGCAAAGCAUUGCCGGAAACAUUAUGAAACGGAGGGGUUCACCGAGUCCUUAGAACAGGACAGCAUUGAUCUCGUCCCACUCCAGUAGGCGCAGAGGCAGAAUGGAAAGUUUAAUCUCAGCGAGCUUCACAGCCACAAGCCUUUCUGCAGAAUAACUUUUUAACUAGUUUUAGUACAGUUUUCCACAAGGGCUUUUUACAUCAUCAAUGUGAGGUUAAAGGUUAGAGGAGGGGUGUCCAAAGCUGGCUCUUCCACUCCUGGUCUUUGUUCCAACCAGUGGUGCUGGAACAAUUUGUAUAGGUGGAGGUGCUGAAAGUCAUUGAAAAAAAACUGGAACCCCUGUAUAUGAUGAAGCAAACAAAUCGCAAAGUAGCGUAUACUGUUAGGAUCCACUUAAACACUGCAGUUUAGAAAUGUUUACUGGGAAGAACAGGCUGAACAGUUGUUUUGUAUUUACAGUCGCCGUUGACAAGGACAGUCAGAAGGGUCUAAAGAUUGACUUGCGCUCCCGUGUCAUGUUGAUUAUUAUUAUUUUCAUGAGGGAAUGGACCUCUAGCGCGUCCUGAAUGUCAGUAUGUCGUGUUGUGUCACGUCAUGUGUUUGAAGCAUUGCUCCACAAAGCAGCACCCCAGUUACACUUUACCAAGAAAAAUCUGAUGUUCUUUUUUGGGACAUUUUCAGUAACCGUUCUGCUGUAUACAAGCUUCUAGGGCAUUCCCACUACUAACCGACUCUCGUGAGAUUGCAACCGUGCGAUUUAUAAAAUAUCCCGCCCCUGUUGUGACAGCCAGUGCUGAUUGGUCUAUUCUAAAAGGAUGCAGUGCACUGCACACACACAGCUCCUAAUAACAUUCAUGAAACUAGCAGGAUUCAUCAUUGCACUGCACACACACAGCUCCUAAUAACAUUCAUCUGACUAGCAGGAUUCAUCAUUGCACUGCACACACACAGCUCCUAAUAACAUUCAUCAAACUAACAGGAUUCAUCAUUGCACUGCACACACACAGCUCCUAACAACAUUCAUCAGACUAGCAGGAUUCAUCAUUGCACUGCACACACACAGUUCCUAAUAACAUUCAUCAGACUAGCAGGAUUGAUCAUUGCACCAGCAGGUGCACAGCACACCUGUCCUGGUUCCAACCCUGGUCUAGCUUGUUUAAUUGAACCAAUGAAACCUCCAUCCCAGACCCUGAAGUUGUUCAUUAUCUCAUUUUACCUGUUAAACCUGCAGUGGAUUGAACCUCCAUGACCGAGAUUGGAAAACCCCUGGGUUAGACAGCAAGGCUAAAUGCGUCGUUUACAAGAUUCUGUUUUUUUUUUUUUUAAAUGUAUUUAAAUAUUGAACCACAUAGUGCAGAUUAAUAUGAACGAAUUGAGAUUCAAUACUAUACUAAAAAGUAAGUAGCGAGGUUAAAAAAAAUCUAGCGUGGUUAAAAAAGAUCGAGGGUUACACAUCCUCACGAGUUGCUACAAUUUAUUUCAUUGUUAACAUCCUUACAACUUUAUACACUUAACUUUAAAGUUUGUUUCAAAGAUCUUUUCAAAGUGGUCACUCUAGUCCACUGGGGUUUGAUCGAGUUUCAAAUUUUAUGUGUAAAAAGUUGUCAGGAUGUUAACAAUGAAAAGAGAAAUGACAGGUACGUUAUUUAAACAGUUGUAGCAACACGUGGGGACCUAUAAACCCCCUACUGACUUUCAAGUGCAGCCUUUGUUUCCCCCAAAUAAUUAAAAACAAAAACCUACUGUCUCCCUGCUAGUUGAGUUUAAUGAGGAGAGAUUCAUAUUACAUUUUCUAAUAACCUUAUUUUUCACAGACAAAUAAAAUGUUUAUGGUAUCCUGAAUAAAAAAAUUGUUUAUGGUAUGUGAAAUAACGUCCCUAUAAAACCAGCAGGUAGUAAGUCAUUGAUUAUAUACAAAUAAUACAAAUACACAAGCCCAUUUGUAAUAGAAAUAUUUAAUAAAUACACUUUGUUUAGGAUUACAUAUACCUUUUAUAUUACAUUCAUUAGAACUUUUCC